RNAcentral lists this ribosomal RNA (780 nucleotides) under uncultured bacterium. RNAcentral's name for it is "bacterial SSU rRNA". It matches the Rfam family "Bacterial small subunit ribosomal RNA", at positions 8 to 761 of the family's 1533-position model. The record is from RNAcentral.
AGAGUUUGAUCCUGGCUCAGGACGAACGCUGGCGGCGUGCCUAAUACAUGCAAGUCGAACGGUCUUUUCUAUGGAAGCUUGCUUCCACUGAGAAGAUAGUGGCGAACGGGUGAGUAACACGUGGGUAACCUGCCCAUAAGAGGGGGAUAACAUCCGGAAACGGGUGCUAAUACCGCAUAGUUUUCUUGAUCGCAUGAUCGGGAAAGGAAAGACGGCCUUUGUGCUGUCGCUUAUGGAUGGACCCGCGGCGUAUUAGUUAGUUGGUGAGGUAACGGCUCACCAAGACGAUGAUACGUAGCCGACCUGAGAGGGUGAUCGGCCACAUUGGGACUGAGACACGGCCCAAACUCCUACGGGAGGCAGCAGUAGGGAAUCUUCCGCAAUGGACGAAAGUCUGACGGAGCAACGCCGCGUGAGUGAAGAAGGUUUUCGGAUCGUAAAACUCUGUUGUCAGAGAAGAACAAGUUGGAGAGUAACUGCUCCAGCCUUGACGGUAUCUGACCAGAAAGCCACGGCUAACUACGUGCCAGCAGCCGCGGUAAUACGUAGGUGGCAAGCGUUGUCCGGAUUUAUUGGGCGUAAAGCGAGCGCAGGCGGUUCCUUAAGUCUGAUGUGAAAGCUCACGGCUCAACCGUGGAAGGUCAUUGGAAACUGGGGAACUUGAGUGCAGAAGAGGAGAGUGGAAUUCCAUGUGUAGCGGUGAAAUGCGUAGAUAUAUGGAGGAACACCAGUGGCGAANGCGACUCUCUGGUCUGUAACUGACGCUGANGCUCGAAAGCG